AUAAUAAAAUAUUAAAACUACUUCAUUGUUCCUUGACUCAGAAUUAAACACUGUUAAUUGCUGAGUCUUAUUUUUCUCUCUGUGUGUGUAUGUGACAGGCAUUGUACAUAGUAAAUAUAGUAUAUGGUGUUGUAACUCGCUCUUUUGUCACCAUUUAACUCUUUCUGGAUAAUUUUCCCAUAGCUUUAAUCUUUCUUCACAAAUAUAAUUUCUAAUGGCUGGAUAUAUUCUUGUUCUUCCAUUGAGAUGAAUGCCAGAUAGUAAAUAUUUUAAAUUUUGCAGGGCCCAGUGGUCUCUAUUACGAACUACUCAACUCUGCCAUUGAACACAAAAGCAGCCUUAAGCAUGACAAAAACAAAUGAGCAUCACUGUUUCAAUAAAAUUUUAUUUAUAAAACAGGCAUGGGCCAAUCCUUGAGCUCAAACUUCCUAAGUUUACAUUUUGCAUCUUAUAGAAAAAAAGCGACAAUUUGAAAUGAAAAGGAAGCUUCACUACAAUGAAGGACUCAAUAUCAAACUAGCCAGACAAUUAAUUUCAAAAGACCUACAUGAUGAUGAUGAAGAUGAAGAAAUGUUAGAGACUGCAGAUGGAGAAAGCAUGAAUACGGAAGAAUCAAAUCAAGGAUCUACUCCAAGUGACCAACAGCAAAACAAAUUACGAAGUUCAUAGACGAGAUUUGUUCAACACUGCAAUUGUUUGUUAGAUGUAAACCCUGUGACUAUAGUACGUUGCUUCUUGUUCUUCACAAUUCAUGACUUAAGUACCAAAAUGCAUACCAGUUAUUAUAUAUUGCCAAGAAUUAAAUGAUAAACUUAGAGACUGAUUAGACUGAAAAUGCCUAAUCGAUAUAUAUAUUCUUGUGCCUAGUACUUUACCACAAAUACAGUGU
RNAcentral lists this long non-coding RNA (889 nucleotides) under Homo sapiens (human). RNAcentral's name for it is "non-protein coding lnc-APOD-3:1". Lineage: Eukaryota; Metazoa; Chordata; Mammalia; Primates; Hominidae. The record is from RNAcentral.